RNAcentral lists this signal recognition particle RNA (267 nucleotides) under Bacillota bacterium. RNAcentral's name for it is "signal recognition particle sRNA large type". It matches the Rfam family "Bacterial large signal recognition particle RNA". From Rfam's summary of the family: The signal recognition particle (SRP) is a universally conserved ribonucleoprotein involved in the co-translational targeting of proteins to membranes. Archaeal SRP consists of a 7S RNA and homologues of the eukaryotic SRP19 and SRP54 proteins. Lineage: Bacteria; Bacillati; Bacillota. The record is from RNAcentral.
UCGUACUAGUCGGGGAGGUAGCGGUUCCCUGUACCCGCAGUCCGCUAUAGCGGGGGCGAAAUCCUUUUUGAGGAUUGUUGAGGUAUUGUCAGUUUGUAUUAGAAAAUGUUGAUUGUCGGGUCUUACGCAACGUGAACGCGUGAACCUUGUCAGGCGGGGAACCGAGCAGCAAUAAGCGUUUGCUUCGCGUGUGCCGUGAGAGUGCCCGGCAGGAGUUUUUAAAAUACAAAAACGGAUAUUUGCAACAAUUCAAGGAAAGGUGUACGG